RNAcentral lists this ribosomal RNA (352 nucleotides) under uncultured Acidobacteriota bacterium. RNAcentral's name for it is "bacterial SSU rRNA". It matches the Rfam family "Bacterial small subunit ribosomal RNA", at positions 22 to 358 of the family's 1533-position model. The record is from RNAcentral. Lineage: Bacteria; Pseudomonadati; Acidobacteriota.
GCUCAGAACGACGCUGGCGGCGUGCCUCCGACAUGCAAGUCGAACGCGAAAGUCCUCUUCGGGGGGCAAGUAGAGUGGCGCACGGGUGAGUAACACGUAGGUAAUCUACCUUUGGAUUGGGAAUAACAACCGGAAACGGUUGCUAAUACCGAAUAAUGCAGCGGCACCUAAUGGUGACAGUUGUUAAAGCGGGGGAUCGCAAGACCUCGCGUCUGAAGAGGAGCCUGCGGCAGAUUAGCUAGUUGGUAGGGUAACGGCUUACCAAGGCGACGAUCUGUAGCCGGCCUGAGAGGGCGGUCGGCCGCACUGACACUGACAUACGGGUCAGACUCCUACGGGAGGCAGCAGUGGG